Annulohypoxylon maeteangense is the source of this 100-nucleotide non-coding RNA. The record is from the annotation of a RefSeq genome assembly. Lineage: Eukaryota; Fungi; Ascomycota; Sordariomycetes; Xylariales; Hypoxylaceae.
UGCCCAUUGGCCCAGUGGUCAAGGCGUCUGACUGUUAUUAUCUUAAAGAAAUAGUAUCAGAAAAAUCAGAAGAUCCCUGGUUCGACCCCAGGAUGGGCAG